Long non-coding RNA from Ahaetulla prasina, 2108 nucleotides. RefSeq lists it as uncharacterized. NCBI's taxonomy places the organism in Eukaryota, Metazoa, Chordata, Lepidosauria, Squamata, Colubridae. The record is from RefSeq and is a predicted model, not a curated record. The transcript has 4 exons.
AUCAGAAAGAACCUAGUAACGCUAUUCCAGUCUAAUGCCAUCUUCAACAGAAGAGAAAUCUGCCUUGGUCUCUGCGCUAACAUCUCCAAUUUGCUUAAUAGGAGACAGAGUGUAUGGCAAACCCAUUUUCGCUGGCUCCAGAGAAAGACAGAAAAGCUGAGACACGUGACUGCAGGCAACCGGAAGCUGAAGGCCCUCAAUAGGCUGGUCAGAAAGGUGAAGAUCUCAAUUCUUGCUAGCUGCUCUCCCACACAGGAACGCAGACCUGUAGGCCCAGCUUCCGCAGAGAAGUGACGCCAAAGUGUCGCUGCUGUUUCCAGAUGUGACCAUUGGAGAAAAUGAUUCCUAAAGGCAUCAGCAGACAAUGAUAAAUGAUUCCUGACUACAUUCAUGUUUUUUUUUAAAAAACCCAGUUUUUGCCAAAUAUCUCUUUGGAUUUCAGAUGGGAAUACCAAACCUUUAUGACAUGUUGCCAUUUUGUAUGAUUCUGGCUAUGUUAAUUUUUUUUUUUUUUUACAAAAAUAUUUAUUCCUUUUGGGAGUCACAUGGACACCGGGACACGCAUGUGGUAUGGUGACCACAGAUGCAUUGCUUGCCAGCCUCCAUCUUAUACAAUGGACAUCAAGACCUUCUCAGAUGAUGUAAACGUUCAUGUACAAGAAUAUAUGUCAUAGGCACAAGAGACAGGAUCUUCUCAGGGAUCUCAGAAUCCGUCUGCGACUUCCUUCUACAAGAUUGGAACUGACCAGCAAAAUAAGCAAAUGGCUUUUUUAUUCACUGGAUUUAAUCAAGUGACCAGUGUUGUUGAUGUUAUUUAGUUUGGGUCAUGAAAUGUCUGCAGGAAAACAAUUAAGCUCCUGGAGCAACAAGGACCCCUUAAUCAAAUUUCUAUUGUGUUUUUCCUGCCAAUAAUUAAGUACGAUGUUUUAAACUGCUUUUAUGGAAGCCAUCUAUAAAUGAAGAAACACUUAUAAGAAAAGCUUUGUUAAAAGUGACGAAGCUUAUUAUUUCUGAGCCCGAAUGUGAUCGUCUUUAUCUGACCUAUUAAAGCAUGUAAUAGGGAAAAAAAUGGCCAAUAGUUCAUUAAAGACAAUGACUUCAAAUUAACGAGCUGAGCCCAAUUUACAGAGUUUACUUUACAGAGUCAGCAUAUUGUCUCCAACAAUCUGGGUCCUCAUUUUACCCACCUCGGAAGGAUGGAAGGCUGAGUCAACCCUGAGUCAGUGGGACUUGAACUGCCAAACUGCUGGCAAUCAGCAGUCAGCAGAAGUAGCCCGCAGUACUGCUCUCUAACCAGUGUGCCACCAUGCAAAAAAAAUAUAUUUACAUAUUCAUUUAAAAAAAAAACCAGAGCCCAAUCAUAUGUGGUUUUAUGUAUUACAUAAAGAGACAUCAAAUAAUUACAAAAAGGAAACACAAUGUCUGAGUCAAUUUAUCAAUGUAACAGACAAGAUGGAACGCAAUGGAGAUGCACAAUAAUGUGGUGUAAAGUGGAUUAUAGCAAUAUUUCUUUUGCUUAUCUCAUAACUGUGAAUCAUUUGGUUUAUUAUCCCUUAUUUUCUUCCCCCCAUGCUAUUUCUUUCACUUAUGACUGUAUGACUAUAACUUGUUGCUGGCAAUCCUUAUGAUUUAUAUUGAUAUAUUGAUCAUCAAUUGUGUUGUAAAUGUUGUACCUUGAUGAAGGUAUCUUUUCUUUUAUGUACACUGAGAGCAUAUGCACCAAGACAAAUUCCUUGUGUGUCCAAUCACACUUGGCCAAUAAAAAAAAAUAAAAAAAUUCUAUUCUAUACAUAUUAUCCCCACAAAUUGUAACAGUGCGAUGGUUAUUUAGAUAUAAUUCCUUAUUAUUUCUACUUACCCCUUCUAUUCCCUACAGCUGUCAUGAAAGCAUCAUCUGGUCGAUAAGAGAAUUCUUCUAGGAAGCUCAUCAUUCCUUCUUUCACAGUUUUGAAUCCAGAUAGCACUACUAUAAGCCAUCAACUCCUGAACUGUCCAAGUGAUUGUUAUGUUGACGGGACAGUCUAGAGACUUUGUUGUGCCUUAAUCUAGCAUUCUUCAUCAGACGGGUUGCGACCUGAAUUAAGAUUGGCCACAAGGACAAAACAAUC